RNAcentral lists this long non-coding RNA (1537 nucleotides) under Homo sapiens (human). Its description in RNAcentral is "GMDS divergent transcript". Lineage: Eukaryota; Metazoa; Chordata; Mammalia; Primates; Hominidae. The record is from RNAcentral.
GAGGAACGCUGAGCCGACCUCUCCGUUAGGCUGAAGAUUGCACAAACCAUGCUAAUGGCCAGCAUGGAUGGAGGGAGCGUGUGAGAUGUGUGGGGCAGCGUGCUGCAUCUCAGCCAACUCCAGGAGCCAGUUGAUGUGAUGGACUACCUUAAUUGAUUUUUGAAUGUUGAGCCAGCCUUAUGCAUGUGGGAUAAACCCCUGUUGAUCAUGGCUGGCUGGAGUGCAGUGGUGCAAUCAUGGCUCACUGCAACCUCAAAUUCCUGGGCUCAAGGGAUCCUCCUGCCUCAGCCUCCCAAGUAGCUAGGACUACAGGAAGCAUGCUCAUGGCAAUACCCGGAGUCUCCACUGCAAGACCAGAGUGACGGAGGCAGCAGAGCUCCUCAGCAGGCCAGGAGUCUCCAGAGGCACUGCCGAAUGUCUAAGAAGCAACCUCAUUGUAUUCCCAAGACCUGGGAAUCCAGGUCUCGCAGAUACGAUGAUACAAUCUAUAGCCAGGACAUCUCUUCAUGUGUAGGAUAAGCAACUAUCCCAGUCUUCCCAGGAUUGAGGGGCUUCUCCAGAUGCUGCACUUCUGGUGCUAAAAAUGAGAAACUGAAAUGAAUUAGUCACCCAAGGAAUGCUGACCCUGUGCUAUAUGAUCACAUUUACUCUUUAAAGCAAUGCUUUGAGGUAGGUAAUAUUAUUUCCAUUUUAAAUAAUUUAUAAAUAAGAGAUAAAGUGUGAUUCCCAAGGCCAUUAUCCAGUAAGUGAUAGAGACUGGGUUUAGGUUAUAUUGUCUGAUUUAAAGCCAGUAUAUUUGUUAUCUGCAUAAUAAAUUACUCCAAAUCUUGGGCUUAAACCAACAAUACGAGUUUAUUAAUCCAUAGUUUCUGUGGAUCAGAAGUUGAGGAGCAGUUUAGCUGGAUGGUUCUGGCUCAGGAUCUCUCAUGAUAGGAUCUCUCCUCAUAGUAUUGGGGGCUGUGGUCAUCUGAAGGCCUGACUGGGGCUGGAGGACCUGACUUCAGGAUGGUGCACUCACAUGGCUGCUGGCAGGGAACUACACAAGAGACAGGCUACCAUAGUGACUGUGUAUCUGAUGCUUCCACAGCUACCCCUUAGGACUCUAAGUCCUAGAAUUGGGACUAGAAGUGGGGAUUAAAGGGAUUCCAUAGGAUGAGAUUGACUAAAAAUAUAUAUACAUGAAUAGGCAUACACAGGAAUAUUCAUUAUAUGUGUAAAUACCAUCAUUUGUAUUCAGGCACACCUUGUUUUAUUGUGGCUUUAUUGCACUUCACAGAUAUUGUAUUUUUUUUAGAAAUUGAAGGUUUGUGACAACCCUGUGUUGAGCAAGUCUAUCAGCACUGUUUUUCCAACAGCAUGUGCUCACUUUGUGUCUCUGUGUCACAUUUUGGUAACUCUUACAAUAUUUUGAACGUUUUUAUGACUAUUAUAUCUGUUGUGGUAAUCUGUGAUCUUUGAUGUUACUAUUGUAAUUGUUUUGGAGCUUCAUGAACCAUGCCCAUAUAAGAUGGCAAAUUUAAUUGAUAAAUGUCGUGUG